UUUAAGUGCUCUCGCAGCUGUGGCUGCAAUGCACAUAAGGAAUCCAAACAGCUAACAAUGAAGAUCGAGAGGAAGCAAACACAACACAAAGAGAGAAAAUAUCUCCGGUAAUCAAAACUCUUGGAGCAACAUAAGAGUUCAUAUGGUGAACAGGAUGAAAAAAACACAGCCGAACACAAAAUAAUGCCUUAACUUAACAAUGCGAAAUGUAAUUUUAGGAAUGUAUGAGCUUGUUCAUAAAACUACAUAUAUGUGAGAACAAAAUAAUAUACGCACUCAAGCAUUGGAUUGAAGCAAGAAGAUUAUAGCUCCCA
Molecule: long non-coding RNA, 314 nt
Organism: Brassica napus (rape)
Lineage: Eukaryota; Viridiplantae; Streptophyta; Magnoliopsida; Brassicales; Brassicaceae
Exons: 2
Source: RefSeq, a predicted model, not a curated record